GCACCCCUAUAUCAAUCCGAAGCUUCCAUUUAAAUACAUUUAUAUUCGAAUGAAGUACAAGAGAUGAAGUACAAGAGAUGACAGGACUUACAUAAGGACAGAACAAAUACCAAUUCCUGAAGGAUUGUCAAUCCUAGAAAUCGUCAACGAUAUAAAGACAAGCAUAAGUACAAGAAAACAGAAACGUCUGCAUUUCUUGUUCAUUUCCUGAUUAUUUGAGGCUGGAAUUUUACUCCUCUUCCAAAACAAUUCCUUUAGCAAAUUAAACGAAAACAAGGGGUUACAUUUUCAAGAAAACAAGGGAUUUUGCGGCAAUAAAAAAGAAAAUGUGGAAAUAAGAAAGAAGAGAAAAAGAAAAACAAAAUGGGAAAAAUGUAUUUGAAAACUACAAAUACACGAACACACAAUUUGAAAACUACAAAUACACGAACACACAAUUUGAAAACUACAAAUACACGAACACACAAUUUGAAAACUACAAAUACACGAACUGGACGUUUUUCAUCUUCCCUCGCACUCUGACACUCAUUAUAGACAAUUGUCCCAAGAAAUUAUUUAUUCGAUUUAAAUUAUACAUGAAUUAUUUAUUAUUAGGAAAUCAAACUGGUUGUAUUUCUCUGAUCAUUGGCUAUAUCGUGGUCAACACAAUUACCAUAAAAUCACUGAUUAAAAUACCUCACUACAGUAAAUUACAAAUAUAAAAUAACUUCACUGACUAAUUAAACAACCAUUCUAUACUGACUGAAUGGCACAGUAUAAAACAAUUCCAGCAAAAUUGUUCAUCCAAACUUGAACAGUUUUAUUAUGUGAAGCAUGAACUUCUACAAAACCAUAGUUAAUAAAAUAGACGGUUUGGAAACCAUUAGAAUAACAAUAUAACUAUUAUCUAUGUUAGUCAACGUUUAUUCAUAAAUCAGGUCCUUCACCGUCACGUGCGUAUUGUGUUUUUGCCCAACUAACCAAUAGCAAUGUUUUAGUAUAGUUAACAGCAUGGUUUCGAGUGCAAUUUGGAUACAACUAUUAUUAAUAAUUUACGUAAAAAUGUUAAUAAUUUACAUAAAAAUGUUCGAGACAAUUGUAUUUUUAACUUACGCGUUUAUAGCGAACAUUCCACUGGCAAAGUUUUCCCAGCUUUGUUAUAUCACAUUAUACAACGCUAACAGCUUGCAAAAUCCCACUCAACAGUGGAAUGUUUGUUUGUCUUGUCUAAGGUAAAGGCUUUUCCAUUUAAAAAUAAAGAUAAAAGCCAUAUUUUCUACGCGAAGUCAACUUUUACUUUAUGUAGCGCGGCGCCAUGUUCGUUUUGUUUUGAAGCAAUCUGUGACCGUUACUUCUUUAAACUAAAUUGCUUUAAACUCACUGGUUGAUUUUAUCAUCAUCAUGUUUUUCCACCAAUCAGAUCAGUUUGUUACAGAAAAUUGCACUGUGAUCACAGAAAAUUGCACUGUGAUCACAGAAAAUUGCACUGUGAUUACAGAAAAGGGAUUAACUGCACUGAAAUCAACCAAUCACAAUCAAGUAAUAUUUUUAUGUAUAUUAUUACGAAAGUUACCUUUAUUAUAUAGAUACUGAUAUUUACGCACGGUUUUAUUAAUGUGAAAAGCCCUUUCAAGAUUAACGUCAACCGAUCUGAAACGCGAAACGAUUAUUUCACACGUGUGAAAAACGUUUCGCCCAAUUGUUUACGUACGAGCGAAUUCGUUCACUGUCGGCAAUGCUUUUGGCAGAAUUUUAUUUAGUUUGCUGCCUUUUUCUUGCUGUUUAAAGUCAAUUUUUAAUUUGAAUUGGACAAUUUAACUCGUAUGUUUGCAAAAGAUUUAUAACACUACAAAAGACAAAUAUGAAUCUAUUUUUUGAAAAGGAAUACGAAAGACACAAAAAAUAUCAUGUCAGUUGCACGAAAACAACAGCGAUGUAAGUUGCAUUAUAUUUAGUUUUUGAAACGAAUUAUUAUUUUUCUCUUAGUUAAACGAAAAAAUAUUGUUUGUUAUAGUGUUCUAGGCCUUGUUGACUAUGUAUUGAUGUCAAAUUUAGUUUGAGAGUAAAGUCCUUUACAAGUGAUUUAAAGAAAAUAUACAAUGCCAAAAUGAAGUUUUGUUUGCACUUUGCAGUGCUUUAUCUUGACUUUGCAUGGCCCUUGGCUUUUGAAUGAACCAAAUUACGUUAAAUAAAGGCAAUCCAUUUAAUAGAAAAUAUCAGUAUCUAUAAAAUAAACAAAUUUAGUAAUGGGAAGUGCUUUUGUAUGGUAUUUUCGCACUUGUUAAUUUGUUUUCGCAAAAUUCACUCGCUCGUUACACUCGCUCGUUCGUUCUGUGAAAACAAAUUAACGCGUGCGAAAAUACCAUACGUCAGCGCUUCCCAUUAAGAAAUCUC
This is a non-coding RNA of Paramuricea clavata, 2373 nucleotides long. Lineage: Eukaryota; Metazoa; Cnidaria; Anthozoa; Malacalcyonacea; Plexauridae. The record is from the annotation of a GenBank genome assembly.